AGUCGAGCGAGUCUGCCUUGAAGAUCGGAGUGCUUGCACUCUGUGAAACAAGAUACAGGCUUGCGGCGGACGGGUGAGUAACACGUGGGUAACCUGCCCAAGAGAUCGGGAUAACACCUGGAAACAGAUGCUAAUACCGGAUAACAACAGAUGAUGCCUAUCAACUGUUUAAAAGAUGGUUCUGCUAUCACUCUUGGAUGGACCUGCGGUGCAUUAGCUAGUUGGUAGGGUAACGGCCUACCAAGGCGAUGAUGCAUAGCCGAGUUGAGAGACUGAUCGGCCACAUUGGGACUGAGACACGGCCCAAACUCCUACGGGAGGCAGCAGUAGGGAAUCUUCCACAAUGGACGCAAGUCUGAUGGAGCAACGCCGCGUGAGUGAAGAAGGGCUUCGGCUCGUAAAGCUCUGUCGUUGGUGAAGAAGGACAGGGGUAGUAACUGACCUUUGUUUGACGGUAAUCAAUUAGAAAGUCACGGCUAACUACGUGCCAGCAGCCGCGGUAAUGCGUAGGUGGCAAGCGUUGUCCGGAUUUAUUGGGCGUAAAGCGAGUGCAGGCGGCUCGAUAAGUCUGAUGUGAAAGCCUUCGGCUCAACCGGAGAAUUGCAUCAGAAACUGUCGAGCUUGAGUACAGAAGAGGAGAGUGGAACUCCAUGUGUAGCGGUGAAAUGCGUAGAUAUAUGGAAGAACACCGGUGGCGAAGGCGGCUCUCUGGUCUGUUACUGACGCUGAGGCUCGAAAGCAUGGGUAGCGAACAGGAUUAGAUACCCUGGUAGUCCAUGCCGUAAACGAUGAGUGCUAAGUGUUGGGAGGUUUCCGCCUCUCAG
Molecule: ribosomal RNA, 824 nt
Filed under: uncultured bacterium
Lineage: Bacteria
Description: bacterial SSU rRNA
Rfam family: Bacterial small subunit ribosomal RNA
Source: RNAcentral